This 1047-nucleotide unclassified non-coding RNA is filed under the name Hevea brasiliensis (rubber tree). Lineage: Eukaryota; Viridiplantae; Streptophyta; Magnoliopsida; Malpighiales; Euphorbiaceae. The record is from RNAcentral.
AGUUUUCUUCCUCCUUUUGAGAGCUUCAGUCUCCGUGUUUCCUAUCGUGUAAGUGGUCUUUUUUGUUCCAUACGGGCAAAGGGGGCCUCUUCUUGUCCGGUCGUGGUCUUCCUCCCCAUCACAAGAAAGAUGAAGCCCGAUCAAUUAUGUUCUCAACACAAAGCGUAUGAUAAGGAGAAUCAGCUGCAUCAUCAUUCAAUGCUUUAAUGCUAACCAGGUUGUCAGACUCGACAAUAAGAGAAGAGAGGCCUGCUUCCUUAGCUAAUUGAACCCCAUACAUUAUAGCUUGUGUUUCAGCCAUGGUUGAAUCCCAUGAAGCAGGAACACACUUAGAUGCCGCUAGUAUUACCCCCCUGUUAUUGUGAACGGCACAACUCAAUCUAACAAAAUUGUUACCAUGAACAACUGCAUCAGUGUUUAGCGUAUAAGAACAGAUUGUUGGUGCUGACCAAGAGGCAAUUGGGAACAGCUAGAGUUUAUGUUGCUCAUCAAGUUUGUGAGUAGAUAUUGAAUAUUGUAUCAUAUUUAUAAUAUUCAUAUAAAUUAGCAUGCACAUGCAUUAUUAAUUGUAUGUAUCUUAGUUACAGAUUAAUUAGGACAUAAAAUUAUCAUUAAAUAAUUAUUAAUACUUAUUUAUUGUGUUGCGUUGAAUUAUACUCACACAGGUACAGAUAUGAAUGUGCAUGGGAUAGGAUUGGCUUGAGUUGAGAUCACUUGCACCUGACGUGUUAUAUAUGUGCGUAUGGAUAUGCGAAAGAUAGGACUUCCUUGAGUUAAGCUCUCUUGCAACUAAUAGGUUGAAAUUAAGCGAAAGCGAUUUGAGAGGUUGGAUUAUAGUGGCUACGUGAGCAACUCACAUGUGUUUUAUGGAUUAUAUUGAGUGUGUGAAUUGUUUUCUAUCAUCUUCUUGUAUAGUGACUGAUUAAUUAUUUAUGAUAUGUUGGUUAUGUGUUUUUAUUAAUAGAAUUGCAUUAGAUUUAGACUACUUAUAGAUAUUGUAUGGGAUAUAUUUAAUAUCAUAUUUUAUGAGUAAAAGCUCAUUUUUAU